GAUGAACGCUAGCGGGAGGCCUAACACAUGCAAGCCGAGCGGUAUUGUUUCUUCGGAAAUGAGAGAGCGGGCGUACGGGUGCGGAACACGUGUGCAACCUACCCUUUAUCUGGAGGAUAGCCUUUCGAAAGGAGAUUAAUACUCCAUAAUAUAUUGAUUGGCAUCAGUUGAUAUUGAAAAGCUCCGGCGGAUAAAGAUGGGCACGCGCAAGAUUAGCUAGUUGGUGAGGUAACGGCUCACCAAGGCGAUGAUCUUUAGGGGGCCUGAGAGGUGAUCCCCCACACUGGUACUGAGACACGGACCAGAC
Molecule: ribosomal RNA, 307 nt
Filed under: uncultured bacterium
Lineage: Bacteria
Description: bacterial SSU rRNA
Rfam family: Bacterial small subunit ribosomal RNA
Source: RNAcentral